Molecule: ribosomal RNA, 500 nt
Filed under: uncultured bacterium
Lineage: Bacteria
Description: bacterial SSU rRNA
Rfam family: Bacterial small subunit ribosomal RNA
Source: RNAcentral
GACGAACGCUGGCGGCGUGCCUAAUACAUGCAAGUCGAGCGGAGUGAUGAAGAAGCUUGCUUCUUCUGAUUUUAGCGGCGGACGGGUGAGUAACACGUGGGCAACCUACCUUGUAGAUUGGGAUAACUCCGGGAAACCGGGGCUAAUACCGAAUAAUCCAUUUUGCUUCAUGGCGAGAUGUUAAAAGGCGGCUUCGGCUGUCACUACGAGAUGGGCCCGCGGCGCAUUAGCUAGUUGGUAGGGUAAUGGCCUACCAAGGCGACGAUGCGUAGCCGACCUGAGAGGGUGAUCGGCCACACUGGGACUGAGACACGGCCCAGACUCCUACGGGAGGCAGCAGUAGGGAAUCUUCCACAAUGGACGAAAGUCUGAUGGAGCAACGCCGCGUGAGUGAAGAAGGUUUUCGGAUCGUAAAACUCUGUUGUAAGGGAAGAACACGUACGAGAGUAACUGCUCGUACCUUGACGGUACCUUAUUAGAAAGCCACGGCUAACUACGUG